AUGAACGAGGGCCACAACCUCCUUCUCGUGCCUCUGCUCCCCCGACUGGCCACGGCCUCAAUCCUCUACCUGGUCCACUUCGUCAUGAGCAGCGGCGAAGGACCCUGCCACCUUGGAGCAGGCCGUGGCACUGGAACUGUACAUCGGAGCGGCUACGAGGGUUCACCCUUCACCGUGACCCAGGAGGAGGCGGAGGCGGAGGCGUUCACCGUCAAGGCCAGGGCGGAGUACGAGGCGGAGGAGGACCGUGAGGAGGAGGAGGCGGCCUUCACCGUCAAGGCCAAGACAGAGGAGGAGGCGGCCUUCACCGUCCAGGCCAAGGCGGAGGAGGAGGUGGAGGACUCGGACGAUGACUGCGACUCGGACGAAGAAGCGGGCUUGGACCACGAUGAGUUCAUGGCCAGGCUGAUCGCAGACUACAACGCCGAAUCCGAGAAGAUCAAGGCUGACAAUCCAUGGUUGACGUACACGGACUAUUCCACUGAGGAAUACGCCUACAUGCGCCGCAACCCGGAGGAGGUGGAGGAGGAGUCCGACGACGACUCGGACGAGAAGCUCAGGAUUUAUGCCGACAUGUUCCGACAGCUGGGAGGGGAGGGUUCCCAUGUUGUUGAUGGGCUUGUUCUGUGCAGGGCUCUUCUUCGUUUUGUACAUUUCGCUAGCGUCCAGAUUGCACCGAUUCGGAUACGCGUAUCAGCAUCGGGGCAUAAAUACGUCAUUUCUGAAAAGCUUUCCAAAAAGCGCCAAUACAGGGAUACAUUUGACUACUUUUAA
This 774-nucleotide ribosomal RNA is filed under the name Triticum aestivum (bread wheat). RNAcentral describes it as "partial small subunit ribosomal RNA". The record is from RNAcentral. Lineage: Eukaryota; Viridiplantae; Streptophyta; Magnoliopsida; Poales; Poaceae.